UGUCCGUGGAGAUGCAAGUGCCUUGCAAGG
Molecule: non-coding RNA, 30 nt
Filed under: Homo sapiens (human)
Lineage: Eukaryota; Metazoa; Chordata; Mammalia; Primates; Hominidae
Source: RNAcentral